Gavialis gangeticus (Gharial) is the source of this 90-nucleotide long non-coding RNA. RefSeq lists it as uncharacterized. The transcript has 3 exons. The record is from RefSeq and is a predicted model, not a curated record. NCBI's taxonomy places the organism in Eukaryota, Metazoa, Chordata, Crocodylia, Gavialidae.
CUGCUGGUGGCCGACCCCACGUCACCUUGUCUGCUUGAGGCCAGAGGAGCUGUCACAAGUUCCUUCCUUUUGUGGGGGGCCGUUAGGGUU